ACUCCUACGGGAGGCAGCAGUGGGGAAUUUUGGACAAUGGGCGAAAGCCUGAUCCAGCAAUGCCGCGUGAGUGAAGAAGGCCUUCGGGUUGUAAAGCUCUUUUGUCAGGGAAGAAACGGUGAGAGCUAAUAUCUUUUGCUAAUGACGGUACCUGAAGAAUAAGCACCGGCUAACUACGUGCCAGCAGCCGCGGUAAUACGUAGGGUGCAAGCGUUAAUCGGAAUUACUGGGCGUAAAGCGUGCGCAGGCGGUUUUGUAAGUCUGAUGUGAAAUCCCCGGGCUCAACCUGGGAAUUGCAUUGGAGACUGCAAGGCUAGAAUCUGGCAGAGGGGGGUAGAAUUCCACGUGUAGCAGUGAAAUGCGUAGAUAUGUGGAGGAACACCGAUGGCGAAGGCAGCCCCCUGGGUCAAGAUUGACGCUCAUGCACGAAAGCGUGGGGAGCAAACAGGAUUAGAUACCCCUGUAGUCCCAUGA
This 474-nucleotide ribosomal RNA is filed under the name uncultured organism. RNAcentral describes it as "partial 16S ribosomal RNA". It matches the Rfam family "Bacterial small subunit ribosomal RNA", at positions 335 to 800 of the family's 1533-position model. The record is from RNAcentral.